AUUGAACGCUGGCGGCAGGCCUAACACAUGCAAGUCGAACGGUAACAGGAAGCAGCUUGCUGCUUUGCUGACGAGUGGCGGACGGGUGAGUAAUGUCUGGGAAACUGCCUGAUGGAGGGGGAUAACUACUGGAAACGGUAGCUAAUACCGCAUAACGUCGCAAGACCAAAGAGGGGGACCUUAGGGCCUCUUGCCAUCGGAUGUGCCCAGAUGGGAUUAGCUAGUAGGUGGGGUAACGGCUCACCUAGGCGACGAUCCCUAGCUGGUCUGAGAGGAUGACCAGCCACACUGGAACUGAGACACGGUCCAGACUCCUACGGGAGGCAGCAGUGGGGAAUAUUGGACAAUGGGCGCAAGCCUGAUGCAGCCAUGCCGCGUGUAUGAAGAAGGCCUUCGGGUUGUAAAGUACUUUCAGCGGGGAGGAAGGGAGUAAAGUUAAUACCUUUGCUCAUUGACGUUACCCGAAGAAGAAGCACCGGCUAACUCCGUG
This 490-nucleotide ribosomal RNA is filed under the name uncultured bacterium. RNAcentral describes it as "partial 16S ribosomal RNA". It matches the Rfam family "Bacterial small subunit ribosomal RNA", at positions 30 to 507 of the family's 1533-position model. The record is from RNAcentral.